Molecule: ribosomal RNA, 468 nt
Filed under: uncultured bacterium
Lineage: Bacteria
Description: partial 16S ribosomal RNA
Rfam family: Bacterial small subunit ribosomal RNA
Source: RNAcentral
GACGAACGCUGGCGGCGUGCUUAACACAUGCAAGUCGAACGGAAAGGCCCUGCUUUUGUGGGGUGCUCGAGUGGCGAACGGGUGAGUAACACGUGAGUAACCUGCCCUUGACUUUGGGAUAACUUCAGGAAACUGGGGCUAAUACCGGAUAGGAGCUCCUGCUGCAUGGUGGGGGUUGGAAAGUUUCGGCGGUUGGGGAUGGACUCGCGGCUUAUCAGCUUGUUGGUGGGGUAGUGGCUUACCCAGGCUUUGACGGGUAGCCGGCCUGGGAGGGUGACCGGCGACAUUGGGACUAAGAGACGGAGCAGACUCGUACGGGAGGCAGCAGUGGGGAAUAUGGCACAAUGGGCGGAAGCCUGAUGCAGCAACGCCGCGUGCGGGAUGACGGCCUUCGGGUUAUAAACCGCUUUCGCCUGUGACGAAGCGGGAGUGACGGUAAUGGGUAAAGAAGCACCGGCUAACUACGUG